RNAcentral lists this ribosomal RNA (439 nucleotides) under uncultured bacterium. RNAcentral describes it as "bacterial SSU rRNA". It matches the Rfam family "Bacterial small subunit ribosomal RNA", at positions 338 to 769 of the family's 1533-position model. The record is from RNAcentral.
CCUACGGGGGGCAGCAGUAGGGAAUCUUCGGCAAUGGACGAAAGUCUGACCGAGCAACGCCGCGUGAGUGAAGAAGGUUUUCGGAUCGUAAAACUCUGUUGUUAGAGAAGAACGUUAAGUAGAGUGGAAAGUUACUUAAGUGACGGUAUCUAACCAGAAAGGGACGGCUAACUACGUGCCAGCAGCCGCGGUAAUACGUAGGUCCCGAGCGUUGUCCGGAUUUAUUGGGCGUAAAGCGAGCGCAGGUGGUUUCUUAAGUCUGAUGUAAAAGGCAGUGGCUCAACCAUUGUGUGCAUUGGAAACUGGGGAACUUGAGUGCAGGAGAGGGGAGUGGAAUUCCAUGUGUAGCGGUGAAAUGCGUAGAUAUAUGGAGGAACACCGGAGGCGAAAGCGGCUCUCUGGCCUGUAACUGACACUGAGGCUCGAAAGCGUGGGGAGC